Podarcis lilfordi (Lilford's wall lizard) is the source of this 267-nucleotide non-coding RNA. NCBI's taxonomy places the organism in Eukaryota, Metazoa, Chordata, Lepidosauria, Squamata, Lacertidae. The record is from the annotation of a GenBank genome assembly.
GCAUGUGAGGGUGAUCUGGUUGUGACAUCUCUCAUCCCAUUGAUGGCAAGGGAUGAUUCACUUGUUCUGACUGGCUAGACCAGGUGCCCCCCUCCUUUCCUCCCUGAUCCACAUGUAUCCCCCCGAACUGACCCACAGUAAAACUCCAGUUGUAGAAAAGCCCUUAACUGAGCAGAAGUUCCUGCAUGUGAUUAUUAUGUGACUAGGCCUGUUCUACACAAUUUGGUUCUCAUACAGCUUCCCCCGCUAAUCUUGGUGGUCAUCGUU